Long non-coding RNA from Stylophora pistillata, 753 nucleotides. NCBI's taxonomy places the organism in Eukaryota, Metazoa, Cnidaria, Anthozoa, Scleractinia, Pocilloporidae. The record is from RefSeq and is a predicted model, not a curated record.
AGAGACUGUCCCUCCCAGAAGACACUCCUCCAGAAGAAACUCCUCUAGAAGAAAUUUCUGAAGUUGAGCCAAAUCAAAGGACACCUUUGGAAGUGAUCUCCCAGAAAGUUAAAAAAAAACAAGGUAGAAAUUUCUUUCCUCAGGGAGAAAAACAAGAAAGGCCAGCAGUCAAGUGAGACUGAGGACGCAGCACCUCCAGUGAAAAAGGUUCCCAGAAAGGAAAAAGAGCUGGUUUGUAAUAGUUGUCAUAUUUAGUUCAUAUAUUACCACUUUGUAAAUAUUAAUUUAAUGUAUAUUCAGAAAAAAAUCCACGUCCCAAAUUUACAUUAAAUUGUUGUUUGUUUCAUCUUCACAUGCUCACUUUGUAAAUAUUGAAGUUAUUUAUUUUUAAAAAGUCAUUUUUAGUAUUAAGGAAUUUAACCAAGCAUGAAAAUGAAUUUACUCUUAAAGUGUUAAGAUAAUCACUUAACACUUUUCAAUUUUUCUUUAGAUCUUCCCAAUAUUAACAGCCCUUUUGGAAUGAUGCUGUAAUAGUCUAUGACCUUAAUUUUUUUUUUUAUUCCAGCCAAAGUACAGAGGAUGGGCAUUUGUCCAUGAGAAAAACUUUGUACAAAAAAAUAUUUUUGAAGAUACGAUUGUGGACUCUCGUUUAAGAAAAAGAAAUUGAUGUAUUUCAGAACCACUCUUGGUUAUUGUUGAGAAGAGACUAUAAAAUCGAGCAUCUGGAUGUGUGUGUGUGUGUGUGUGUGUUUU